RNAcentral lists this ribosomal RNA (496 nucleotides) under uncultured bacterium. Its description in RNAcentral is "partial 16S ribosomal RNA". It matches the Rfam family "Bacterial small subunit ribosomal RNA", at positions 28 to 507 of the family's 1533-position model. The record is from RNAcentral.
GACGAACGCUGGCGGCGUGCCUAAUACAUGCAAGUAGAACGCUGAAGAGAGGAGCUUGCUCCUCUUGGAUGAGUUGCGAACGGGUGAGUAACGCGUAGGUACCUGCCUUGUAGCGGGGGAUAACUAUUGGAAACGAUAGCUAAUACCGCAUAACAAUGGAUGACACAUGUCAUUUAUUUGAAAGGGGCAAUUGCUCCACUACAAGAUGGACCUGCGUUGUAUUAGCUAGUAGGUGAGGUAAUGGCUCACCUAGGCGACGAUACAUAGCCGACCUGAGAGGGUGAUCGGCCACACUGGGACUGAGACACGGCCCAGACUCCUACGGGAGGCAGCAGUAGGGAAUCUUCGGCAAUGGGGGCAACCCUGACCGAGCAACGCCGCGUGAGUGAAGAAGGUUUUCGGAUCGUAAAGCUCUGUUGUAAGUCAAGAACGGGUGUGAGAGUGGAAAGUUCACACUGUGACGGUAGCUUACCAGAAAGGGACGGCUAACUACGUG